GACGAACGCUGGCGGCGUGCCUAAUACAUGCAAGUAGAACGCACAGUUUAUACCGUAGCUUGCUACACCAUAAACUGUGAGUUGCGAACGGGUGAGUAACGCGUAGGUAACCUGCCUGGUAGCGGGGGAUAACUAUUGGAAACGAUAGCUAAUACCGCAUAAUAUUAAUUAUUGCAUGAUAAUUGAUUGAAAGAUGCAAUUGCAUCACUACCAGAUGGACCUGCGUUGUAUUAGCUAGUAGGUGAGGUAACGGCUCACCUAGGCGACGAUACAUAGCCGACCUGAGAGGGUGAUCGGCCACACUGGGACGGAGACACGGCCCAGACUCCUACGGGAGGCAGCAGUAGGGAAUCUUCGGCAAUGGACGAAAGUCUGACCGAGCAACGCCGCGUGAGUGAAGAAGGUUUUCGGAUCGUAAAGCUCUGUUGUAAGAGAAGAACGGGUGUGAGAGUGGAAAGUUCACACUGUGACGGUAUCUUACCAGAAAGGGACGGCUAACUACGUG
This 505-nucleotide ribosomal RNA is filed under the name uncultured bacterium. RNAcentral describes it as "partial 16S ribosomal RNA". It matches the Rfam family "Bacterial small subunit ribosomal RNA", at positions 28 to 507 of the family's 1533-position model. The record is from RNAcentral.